This 253-nucleotide ribosomal RNA is filed under the name uncultured prokaryote. RNAcentral's name for it is "partial 16S ribosomal RNA". It matches the Rfam family "Bacterial small subunit ribosomal RNA", at positions 524 to 776 of the family's 1533-position model. The record is from RNAcentral.
UACGUAGGGGGCAAGCGUUGUCCGGAAUUACUGGGCGUAAAGCGCGUGUAGGCGGGACGGUUAGUCGGACGUGAAAGGCUGGGGCUCAACCCCAGAUUGCCGUUCGAAACUGCCGUUCUUGAGGGUCGAAGAGGAGAGUGGAAUUCCUGGUGUAGCGGUGAAAUGCGUAGAGAUCAGGAGGAACACCCAUGGCGAAGGCAGCUCUCUGGUCGACAUCUGACGCUGAGACGCGAAAGCGUGGGGAGCGAACGGG